CCCCUUCUCUCCCUCCUCCCUCUCUCUUCUCUUCUCCUCUCUUUUUCCUUUCCCUUUCAUGCUAUCCCUCUCAGCCCGCUAUUGUUGUCGUGGCUGCGAGCUGGCAGCCUGCACUCCUUGUGGGCUGGGCGGACGGCCUGGGAGCCGCGAGCUGGGCCGGGGCCGCUGCUGCGUCCGCCUCCGCCACGACCCGGAGCCCCGUUGCUAGGAGGCUUCAGAACUGACUGCGGCAUGGAGUAGCUGGCUCCCCCAUUUCCCCACGAGUCCCGGGGUCUCUCCUCAUCCUGAACCCGCUGACUGAAAGGAGGGCAACUGCAUUGAUCGUCAGCCUGCCAGGGAUGGUGGACAUUUCCCCAGAUGGUCCCUCAUCAGAUGUGUGGCUUCCUCCCUGAACUUUCUGGCCAUCAGGGAUGGAUGUGUGUCAGUGGUCAAUGUGCUGCGAGCCCUGGAAAGAGAAGGAGCAAGGAGAAGAAAGGACGUUAGUCCUGGAAGGAGGCAGCAGCGGGAGGAGGGACGCCACCUGGGCAAUGCUGUCUGGCCUGCUGAACGUGCGGUGCUGGCCCCGUUUUAGGGAUGGGAAAACUGAGGCCAAAAGAGGCGGUCCCACUGCCCAGCCUGAGAAGAUGGAGCGGGCCCAGCAGAGAAGCUCAUGGGAUCAGAGAAGGAAACUGAGGCCCAGGAUGGUCACAGCUCAUGGUCUGAGGUUCCGGUGGCUCCGGUGCAGACCCUGGCUGGGCCCUGUCGUGGGUAGAGGCAGGGCCAGUGAGGAGGAAGAUGGGCUGUCCAUCCAUCAGUCAGUCCAUCCAGCAGCGGGCACUUACUAAGCACCAGCUCUGGCUCGCGAGGACCUGGGGAUGUGAGACAGGAGGAGGGCCUCCCUGCCCUCUGGGAGUUCCUGUCUAUCCCAGGAGGCAGCGUCUACACAGCCCUUCUGCACAGAAUACUCUGCCUCCCAAAGCAACAACUGUCAUUUUGUGACAGAUGAGGAAACCGAGGCCCUGGAGAGGUGCUUUGUCUAAUGCCGCCUCCUCUCCCUUGACUUAUGGUGUCUCACUGUAACUUGGAGCAUGUCCACACCCAUUUCUGCGCCUCAGUUUCCUCGCCCGUAAAAUGAGGGGGUUAGCCUGGAUGAGAUUUGUGGUUCCUUUCCUGCUCUGGCAUUCGAUGUCUCCAUGAUUCUAAGCUUAUUGGGAAAAGUGAUGAAAUGGGGCCAGUUUCAGUCUCCUGGCGCAGGCCUGACUCCAUCAGUUUGGAAUUUCAGGUGUGGCCCCUGGGUGGGGGAUGCCCCCCCCCCCACCCGUGGGAGAGGGGGUAGAGCCUGAAGGGUAGCCGACACCCUGUCCCGACUGGGAGCUGGUGGUGCGCCCACCUCAAGUGAAGUCUUCCCUAAGCCCUCUGCCGGGGAAGGGUCUUGCCCUCAGCUUGCUCUCUCUAGGGCCACCUGGUGCAUGUGUGGAGGACGGGGUGUUUGGGAUGCUGGUCCCCGAGCCUGUGAGACCAGGAUGGCAGCCACGGUGCCCGGUCCCCAGGACAAGCCUUCCCAAGCCCACACCAGCUGCCAGACAGCUUGCUUUGGUCAGGGCAUCUGGGGCCAUUGGCAGAGGGCACUCCCAGUGAGGAAGCUCCCUCUACCACAGCAGAUCUUUGGAAAAACUAGAUUUUUGUUGAUGUCUCUGGUUUUUACAUCCCCUAGGUUCCCCUUUUUCCUUCCUCCUCCCCUCCUCCCCAGCCAUCCCUUAUAGCAAAGAAUUUUAAAAAAACAAGAGGAAGAGAAAAAUUUAGUCAAACCGAUGGACACAUUGAAGAAAUCUGCUGUUCCCUGUGACGUUGCCAUGCAGGGCCCUAGCCCCUGCCCAGGAGAGAGCACCAGAGUGCUUCUGCCACUGAGUGCCUAGGACACAGAGAGGUCCAGUGACUUACCCAGGAUCACCCAGCCUGACUACUCAAGGAGUGAGGUUUUCAGCAGUCCUUUCCCUUGGCGCAGUGGAACCCAGACCAUGGCACACACCAGAAAUAUUUCAAGCCUGCUGCCAUCCCAAGUAAACACCUAUGUUGCCCAGGAGUGACAGAGUAAACAGGUAACCAAGGAACAAGGAGGAUCUUAGGUGGGGCCGAUGGGCUGUUACCCUCUAGAGGCAAAGUAAAUCUUGCCUUGCCGUGGCCGCCACCACCGUGACAUAAGUGACCUGGGCUGCCCCCCCAUGCUACUUUUCAUUUAAUGAGCCCCUCCCCCAGAGGCUGUGGACCCGACUACAGCAUCCUAAAGGAGUUAGACAAGGAGGUAUCAGUAGCAGACCUCAUUCAUUCAUUUGUUCAUUUUUUCAUUCAUCCUGUAUCAUCAUCUGUGUGUUAGACACAGGAGAGAUAAUGGCAGUGUGGGUCCCCAGCCACGAGCAGUUAAACACCAAGGCCACUCUGGCCACAGUGACCGUGUGCGUCUGGAGCCGCUCAGCACAGCUUGGGCAAAGCUGAGAGCGGCUCUGACGUAACAACGGUGUUAGGGGCAAAUGCCUGGUAGUGAACUUCUUAGCACAAGUGGAUCCGAGGAAGACUCCAGUCACAGGCCAGAAAGGACAAUAUUGUACAUGGAGGUGCUGCUGCUGCUGGUGACUGUUUAUCCCUAGGUCUUGGAUUUCAUUAGGGAAAGUAGCUGCCACUUGUCUGUCCUUUAUAGACCUGGAUAAGGGAGGCAAUUAGAGGGGUGAGCUCCUUGUGUUCACAAACCCAGUAGGUGCUGGGCAGGUCCCUGCGAUUCCAAAGCCAGUGCGCUGCCCACUAGGCCACAGUGGAUUAUGGUUCAGUCUUCCCCCCUCCAUGAUCACGAAUCCCAUCUGUGGACCUCCUUAGAACUGACAGUGCCAGAGCUGGGAGGGGCCUUAGAACGUGGGCUGUCGGGGCCAGGAGGGCCUGAAAGGUCAUUGAG
Long non-coding RNA from Vombatus ursinus (common wombat), 2923 nucleotides. RefSeq lists it as uncharacterized. The record is from RefSeq and is a predicted model, not a curated record. The transcript is spliced from 7 exons. NCBI's taxonomy places the organism in Eukaryota, Metazoa, Chordata, Mammalia, Diprotodontia, Vombatidae.